GACGAACGCUGGCGGCGUGCUUAACACAUGCAAGUCGAACGGAAAGGCCCUGCUUUUGUGGGGUGCUCGAGUGGCGAACGGGUGAGUAACACGUGAGUAACCUGCCCUUGACUUUGGGAUAACUUCAGGAAACUGGGGCUAAUACCGGAUAGGAGCUCCUGCUGCAUGGUGGGGGUUGGAAAGUUUCGGCGGUUGGGGAUGGACUCGCGGCUUAUCAGCUUGUUGGUGGGGUAGUGGCUUACCAAGGCUUUGACGGGUAGCCGGCCUGGGAGGGUGACCGGCCACAUUGGGACUGAGAUACGGCCCAGACUCCUACGGGAGGCAGCAGGGGGGAAUAUGGCACAAUGGGCGGAAGCCUGAUGCAGCAACGCCGCGUGCGGGAUGACGGCCUUCGGGUUGUAAACCGCUUUCGCCUGUGACGAAGCGUGAGUGACGGUAAUGGGUAAAGAAGCACCGGCUAACUACGUG
This 468-nucleotide ribosomal RNA is filed under the name uncultured bacterium. RNAcentral describes it as "partial 16S ribosomal RNA". It matches the Rfam family "Bacterial small subunit ribosomal RNA", at positions 28 to 507 of the family's 1533-position model. The record is from RNAcentral.